This 253-nucleotide ribosomal RNA is filed under the name uncultured bacterium. RNAcentral describes it as "partial 16S ribosomal RNA". It matches the Rfam family "Bacterial small subunit ribosomal RNA", at positions 524 to 776 of the family's 1533-position model. The record is from RNAcentral.
UACAGAGACUGCAAGCGUUAUUCGGAUUCAUUGGGCGUAAAGGGUGCGCAGGCGGCCAAGUGUGUGAGGCGUGAAAGCCCGGGGCUUAACUCCGGAAUUGCACCUCAAACUACAUGGCUAGAGCAUUGGAGAGGGUAGCAGAAUUCACGGUGUAGCAGUGAAAUGCGUAGAUAUCGUGAGGAAUACCAGAGGCGAAGGCGGCUACCUGGACAAUUGCUGACGCUCAGGCACGAAAGCGUGGGGAGCAAAAGGG